Molecule: long non-coding RNA, 360 nt
Organism: Triplophysa rosa
Lineage: Eukaryota; Metazoa; Chordata; Actinopteri; Cypriniformes; Nemacheilidae
Exons: 3
Source: RefSeq, a predicted model, not a curated record
AGCACUGCAGGUGAGCCGAGACCUUGUACGGCUGAUCUAGAGUCAGACAUGCGAGACACAUACAGACAGCCAAUUAUAUUAAUUGAAAGAGCCUAAUUAAUUAAUCAUAGACUUUGUUGUGGGCAGGACAGUGAAACAAUAGGAUGCGUGCUGCCAGGGGAGAGGUAACCAGAGGCCAGCUCUAAAAAGAGAGAAAGUCACACAGGUUUGAGAUGACAAGAGGGCGUGUAAAUGAUGACAGAAUUUUCAUUUUGAAGAUACUCACACCUGCGCAGGGGUUGCGGGGGGACGCGUCGACGGAGCCACUAUCCGAUAACGCAGCACAGAGAGGGCAGCCAGGCUAAAGAUGUCCACUCCGGC